This 394-nucleotide ribosomal RNA is filed under the name uncultured organism. RNAcentral's name for it is "bacterial SSU rRNA". It matches the Rfam family "Bacterial small subunit ribosomal RNA", at positions 45 to 433 of the family's 1533-position model. The record is from RNAcentral.
UGCUUUACACAUGCAAGUCGAACGGCAGCGCGAAGGAAGCUUGCUUUCUUUGGCGGCGAGUGGCGAACGGGUGAGUAAUGUAUCGGAACGUGCCCAGUAGCGGGGGAUAACUGGCCGAAAGGUCAGCUAAUACCGCAUACGCCCUACGGGGGAAAGGGGGGGAUCGCAAGACCUCUCACUAUUGGAGCGGCCGAUAUCGGAUUAGCUAGUUGGUGGGGUAAAGGCCUACCAAGGCGACGAUCCGUAGCUGGUUUGAGAGGACGACCAGCCACACUGGGACUGAGACACGGCCCAGACUCCUACGGGAGGCAGCAGUGGGGAAUUUUGGACAAUGGGGGAAACCCUGAUCCAGCCAUCCCGCGUGUGCGAUGAAGGCCUUCGGGUUGUAAAGCAC